CCCAUUAGCUAGUUAGUAUAUAAGAUAGAUGUUGCACUUAUUUGUAACUUGAUACAUUCAUUUGUAUCAAUUCUAUUAGUUUCAUUGCAUCUCUCUCAAACUUUUCUCUCCUUUUACUCUGAUGAUAUCAUGAAUCUUAACAUGGUAUCAGAGCCGUGGAUUCCUCCUUAGGCACACAAUUCCGCUUCAAUUUUCACGAGAAAAUUCAACUCUCGAAUUUUAUUUUUCCUUCCAUUCUCAUUCUUUUCAUUUUUCCAGUUUCGAUCUUCUUCUCUUUCUCCUAGUCGCCGCCAUUGAUAUUGGUGACGCUCUUCAUCUCACCGGAGUUAGUUAGAAUUCCGAUCGCUUCCAUUGUUCUUCUUCGAUUUCUCUGAUUCUUUCUCUACCUAGGAAUUUUCGCGGUUCUCUGUUACUCUCAAAAUUCAGAAGCUUCUCCGAUUCAUGAUCCAAUUUCUUGUUGGAUUUCUUGAUCGAAUAGUCUAUGAAUCUUUCAAUCUCUUGUUAAGUUUGUUCUUGUUCUCGCAAUUGUGAAUUGUGAUUACGGUUAUGAUUUUUGUUCUCAUCUUUUUCCCCAAAUUCUAGGGUUUGAAAUUUCAUUUUUUUUCUUUUCUCGAUCGCAUUUUAGUUUACUGAAUCUUUCAUUUCCACUUCCGAUCUGAAUUUCGUAUUGAGUUUCACUUUGUGAUUUUUCAUUCAUCUACUGGUGAUUCUUGAUGGUGACAGAGUCACAAAUUUGUGAUGUUAUAUGUUACUUCUCAACGUUUCGGAGAAUCAUCGGUUUCGCUCUGUAAUUCGGUGCUUCGUGAUAUGAUCGAUUCUUUACAAGUGGUUGAAGUGUACAAUUUCUUGGCUCGUUGGUUCUUUCUCCAAUUCAGUGCUUCCAAGGUGUUUGUGAAAAGUUUUUCAUUGAAGACAGAGAAUGAUUGCUUUGGUAUUUGAUUCAAGUCAAAAUUCAUUGAUUACUUUGGAGUAUAGUUGAUUCACUUCACGACUUCCGCAACGAAGUGUUUCGUCAUAAAUUCUGCUUCUCUUACACUAAGGUUUGGCAUAUUCAGUUUAUUUUUAGACUCAAUUUUCUGCUACUGUGAAGCUUGUGCUUGUUUUUCUGCACCCGAUCAGAUUUGUUGUGGCUAUCUCCUUUGGUGCAUUGUUUAUUCAGUUUGGUUGUUUGGCAUGCCAUAUCGUUUCAAUAUGGUGCUAUGUUAUUAGCUUAUCACUGAGAACAUAUUUUUUGAAGAUAAAUUUGGAUCUCAUGCCUUGGUUAUAUUGUUACUGGUUGAACUUGAUUUGGAUGUUCAUAAGAAGCCUGGUAAAGUUCACUGUUGAUGAAAAGUGUUAAUUGGUAAUACUUGUAGUAAAUUGGUUAUGCUUGGUUUCAUUGAAGACUGAUAAACUGAUGAGUUGUUGUUGCAUUGUGCUGUCACUAGUUCUUUUACUUCUUUGGAUUCAUUCCUUGUGUGAAGAUUGAAGAAACACAUUUGGUUCAUGCUUUAUUUGCUGCCAUUGUAGAAGGUAUUAGUCAACUCAAAGAAGCUCAUUUUGGGAGUCUUAUCCCACUGAUACUCUAUGCUUUCAGCAGAAUAUAGUUUGGCUGGAGUUUAUUGGAUGUUUGUGUCUUCCCCCAUGAAGACACGAUGGCUUCACAUUUGUUCUGAGAGCCUCUGUUUGAGGAUUUACUUGUUGCUGGUUUAUCUCUUUAUUGUGAAGAUUGAAGACUGGUUUGAGUUCUUUAAUCUACUCUCUGUUGCCCUGUUUUAGACAGGUGCUUAGCCAUAUUGGCUUUGUUGCUUUUAUGUUAUCUCUUGAGCAGCUUGAAUUUGCUUGCUUUAUCAAGUGGUUAGUUGGUUUUCUUUUUGAUGUGCUAUCUCAUCUUGAGCACAACAUUGGUAUUGAUGCUUUUCUCUCUAGCCAUCAACCACACUACUUGAUCUUUCUCCUUGAUUUGUUGGUCCUUAGAUGAGUUAAUUACCUUUAGCACAACUUGAGUAUUGAUGCUUCACUUUAUAGACAUCGGACCCUUUUGAUAUUCUCUACUUGAUCUUUCUCCUUGAUUUGAUUGGUCCUUAGAUGAGCUAAUUACCUUUAGCACAACAUGAGUAUUGAUGCUUCACUUUAUAGACAUCGGACCUCUUCUGACAUUCUCUUUUUCGCUUCUAUCUUGAGUGAUUGAGUGCUCUUGAUGGUUAAGCUUUGUGCCUUAAUUGGCUUUGUUGAUUUGCUUCUGCCCUUAGUUGGCUUUGAUGGGUUGUGUUUCUUCCUUAUGGUGGUUAAGCACUACUAGUUGUAUUUGAGUUGUUUUUCUAGCCGAUGUAUUCCGGCAAAUUUCAUUGUAUUUUCUUUAUAUUGAUGUACUUUUGCAUUAGUGAUCCCAAGCUGGAAGUGUUGUGACCACUUUCCAGCUUGCGGGAGGCUGUUGAACUAUAUAGAGUUAGGCCCAUUAGCUAGUUAGUAUAGGCCCAUUAGCUAGUUAGUAUAUAAGAUAGAUGUUGCACUUAUUUGUAACUUGAUACAUUCAUUUGUAUCAAUUCUAUUAGUUUCAUUGCAUCUCUCUCAAACUUUUCUCUCCUUUUACUCUGAUAUCAUGAAUCUUAACAAUAAUUAUUGUUAAAGUGUGGUUGUUCAAAUUUUAUACUUCUAGCAUUUAGCAACUAGCUCAAAUAGUAAUAUUUAAUCAAAUAAAAUCUUGAUUUAGAUUCGUCAAGACUUAAG
RNAcentral lists this long non-coding RNA (2709 nucleotides) under Trifolium pratense (red clover). RNAcentral describes it as "long non-coding RNA (TPRA_LNC013959)". Lineage: Eukaryota; Viridiplantae; Streptophyta; Magnoliopsida; Fabales; Fabaceae. The record is from RNAcentral.